CUCUCAAGAUAAGAACAACCUUUACGUGGUUUGAGAGAUAAGUAAGCUAUUUUAGCUGAAACUAAUAGUUCU
This 72-nucleotide non-coding RNA is filed under the name unclassified sequences. The record is from RNAcentral.